UGGGGAAUUUUGGACAAUGGGCGAAAGCCUGAUCCAGCCAUGCCGCGUGCAGGAUGAAGGCCUUCGGGUUGUAAACUGCUUUUGUACGGAACGAAAAGCCUCUUUCUAAUAAAGAGGGGUCAUGACGGUACCGUAAGAAUAAGCACCGGCUAACUACGUGCCAGCAGCCGCGGUAAUACGUAGGGUGCAAGCGUUAAUCGGAAUUACUGGGCGUAAAGCGUGCGCAGGCGGUUUUGUAAGACAGAGGUGAAAUCCCCGGGCUCAACCUGGGAACUGCCUUUGUGACUGCAAGGCUGGAGUGCGGCAGAGGGGGAUGGAAUUCCGCGUGUAGCAGUGAAAUGCGUAGAUAUGCGGAGGAACACCGAUGGCGAAGGCAAUCCCCUGGGCCUGCACUGACGCUCAUGCACGAAAGCGUGGGGAGCAAACAGGAUUAGAUACCCUGGUAGUCCACGCCCUAAACGAUGUCAACUGGUUGUUGGGUCUUCACUGACUCAGUAACGAAGCUAACGCGUGAAGUUGACCGCCUGGGGAGUACGGCCGCAAGGUUGAAACUUAAAUGAAUUGACGGGGUCAUAGCUGUUUCCU
RNAcentral lists this ribosomal RNA (585 nucleotides) under uncultured bacterium. RNAcentral's name for it is "partial 16S ribosomal RNA". It matches the Rfam family "Bacterial small subunit ribosomal RNA", at positions 355 to 1375 of the family's 1533-position model. The record is from RNAcentral.